RNAcentral lists this long non-coding RNA (18781 nucleotides) under Gossypium barbadense (sea-island cotton). Its description in RNAcentral is "long non-coding RNA (GBAR_LNC012829)". Lineage: Eukaryota; Viridiplantae; Streptophyta; Magnoliopsida; Malvales; Malvaceae. The record is from RNAcentral.
AAAGCAGUUUCCAAUAAACCAUUCAUUAUUCCGCUCUCUUUUUAUCUUUUCUACAAAAAGGGUCCUAUCAGACAACUGUCAAUCAGGUUCCUUUCUUUUCUGUCGAUCCAUCUCCAAAGUUUAUUGCUUAAUGAUCCUUUCAAUCAGGUAUGUUCUUUAAUCUUCUUCAUCGCAUUUCUAGCAAGGUUGUGAUCCAUAUUGUUUGCAGAUUUGUUUGUAUGCUGAAAGAAUAUGUGUUGAAAAAUUGUUUUUUCUGUUUAAUGUUUCGUAUUAUACCCCCAAUUACCAAUCUAUCAGUCUUCUCCGAGUUUCUCUUUUUUAUCAUUGUUGCUGAGUCUCCUUCGAUAAUAACUGAUUUAAACCCCAUUUGUUUUCCCACAAUCACUACUUGGAGGUACGCAAGUGCCUCUGCUGCAAAUAGAGAAGCCACCUCCCUAUGGAUCUUUGUUUUGAAGCCGAGUACCUUCCCCGAUGCAUUUCUGGUUACCACCCCUGAGACUGAUUUUGCCCAAGAGGCAUCAAAAGUGGCGUCAAAAUUAACUUUGUAGUAGAAAAUUCUAGUGGGCACCAACCCACAGCCUCAUGAUUCAUGGUAAAGUUCUGAAUUUCACACCCCUCCUGUUCCUUAAUAUAUUUGUUUAUCCAUGUAGCAACUUCUUGACCCAUACUGUUUUUCCUUCAUGUAAACCUUUGUUUCUAGCUGUUCAGAUCGCGCACAUAGAGCAGCAAAAAAUUCGACACUAAGUGUUGGAAUUGUUUUUGAACACCUAAGUAAGCCACUCGCAAUGUGACAAAAUUAUAUUUGUUAAAUACCCACUCCAGUUUCAAACUAAUCCAUACUUCUUGCGUCACAGGGCAUUCUCUGUUAAUUUAAAUUUUUUACAAUUUAGUUCUUAUUGCACAAAACACAAAAUAUGUAAAAUUUUCUUAUAGCCAUAUUAGAUCGAAUUUUAUCCAUGCUUAUAUAAGUCCAUAUGUUUUUUAUUUAUUUCACAUUUUAGUCCCUCAAAUUAUUAUUUUUUGUAAUUUAAUCUUAAUUACUUAAAAUCAUCAAAAGUUUCAAUACAAAACAUGUUAAUCUAAAAUAUAUUUUUCAUAUUUCAUCGUCAAACAACAAAAAUCACAAAGCUCUCAACAAUGGUACGACUCAAAAUAUUCAUCAAAAUAAAAAAUUUAAGCAUGGGUUUUGUAAUACUCGAAGUAACGAACUAAAAAACGUAAAAAUUAUCAAAAACUGACUAAGAACGAACCUUGAAUCAAGAUGAGAAAGAUGGUCGAACCUAGCUUUUGUUGCUUCUUUUCUUUUGUUUCUUAUUUCAGUGGAUGAACAUAAUAAUAUGAUAGCUUAUUUUAAUCUUAUGUUUUAUUAUAAACAUUUUAUUACAUAAUUUACCUUUUUAACCUUGUUUAAUAUCAUUCAUACUUCACCUUCCUAUACUUCACCUUCCUAUGGCCGAAUGUGUCCAUGCAAACAUCCAAGUGUAUAAUUGCAUUAUAAGCACCCUACAUUACAAAGACAACCACUAUUUGGCCCUUUUAUUAUUAAUCUUUAAAUUUUUAUUUUACGCGAUUAAGUCUUUUUAUUUAAUUGGACACCCAAACAAUAAAAUUAAAUUACUAAAAUUUCACAGAUAUAAAUUCAUAUAAAAUAAACACAGAAAAUAAUUUUUAAAUAUUUUUCUAACUUGGAUUCGUGGUUCUGAAACCACCAUUUUGAUUAGGGUCUAAAUCAAGUUGUUACAUCAGCGAACCUAAGGUUACGGACGACGGCCACCUAAAUUCUAUAAAUAGUCUCAGUUGUCACAUGUUAUAGACAAUAAUUGCUUAGUUGAGAAUUCUGCUUUUAAUUUCAGUUUAACUUUUCUUUCUUCUUAGGUUUUAGAUUUAUUUUCAAGUUGCUCUUUGUUAAUUUCAAUAGAUUUGGUUUGUGAAGACAAUCAAACUUAGGGAUUCAAUUCAUUCUUAAUACAAAUCAAACAUUUUCUUAGACUUUAUACUUUGCUUUAUUCUUCAUGUUCUAUCUUUAUAUCAUUUCUAUUGUUCUAUCUUUAUACCAUUUUUAUAUUGUUUUUGAAAAUCAUGAAGAACUAAUCUUUCUAUAGGGGAUUAACGAGUGGAGGUAUGAUUUGUUAACUAUUUUGUAGGGUUACUUAAUGGAUCAACUGUUUCUAUUAUAUUAUAGUGAUUCUGGUGUGUCACCAGGGGCGGAUGUAAAGCCUUUAGGCUUGGUACUUGGUGCCCAUGUGUGUUCCAGAGGGAUGUUAGCCUACAAGCUAGGCAGUUGAUGCCCAAGUAUGUUCUCGGUUGGUUUAGCUCGUUUAAGUGUUUUGGUGUGUUCUGGAUGGUUAACCAUGUAAACGAAUCUAUUAUAUCGUUCAUCGGGCAGAUUUUUAAUGGUUACAUGAUUUGUAAUUCAUCUUGUAAAUGGUUAUAUGCUUUUUUGAUUGAAUAACAUGAGUUUACAUUGAAUGAUAUAGUAUAAUUGAAUAAAUUAUUUAUUAUGUGUAUUGAUAUGAAGACUCACCUAUUGAAUGGUUGUGAUUGACAAGAUUAUAGUUUAUUAACUGUUACUUUGUGAUUUAUAUGUUUUUACGGUAAGUUUAUCAUUUUAACCCUUGAACUUACUAAGCUCUAGUAACGCUUACUCGUAUCUUUUCUUCUAGUUUUUGUAGAUUAAGGUUUGUGGAAAUGGACGAUCGAAUCAACUCAAAGAAUCAUUCUAUCCAGCUAUCUUUUGGUUGUUUUUUAUAUGUUUAUCUUUGGGUUAUAUGGCAUGUAAUAGGUGUGUUUUGUUAAUGUUUUGAAUAUUUACUACAUGUGUUACAUAUGAGAUUGAUCCAAAGAUGAUUAAGCUUAGUAUUAGCUUGCUUGUGUAUGUGCCUUUAAUCAUGUGUGAAUAUGGUCAUAUAAAAUUGUUUUGGUCAUUGGAUAUAAACGUUAUGUAAGUAUUUGAAUCAUGGUAUGAAUGAAUAAGAAUAAAUGGUAAGUUUAGCAUGAGUUUUAUAUAUGAACUUAUGAGCUUAUGAACUUGAAUGCUAAUUAUUUUUGUGUAACAUGUGAAUUGAGGUUGAUAAUUGAAUUGUAGUGGACACAUUGGUUGAAUGUUUUUUGCUAGUUAAUUGUGUUUUUAAAGUAUGAAAAUGGUUAAUUUUGAUUUGGCUUGGUACCUAAGUUUUGGAUGAAUUUUUUUUCUUAUUUUGGAAGCUUUUUAAGGUGCACAUAGCCAGUGUCUUUACACAGUCGUUUGCUAACAUGGCCUACUCACAUGGCCGUGUGCCUUAUUAAUUUUAGGUACAAGAUUUUUCACACGAUCAUAGUUAUACGGUUUGAGCUCACAAGCAUGUUGAGUAGCCACAUAGGCGUAUGGGGUAGCUACACAGCUAUGUCCCUGAGCUACGGCUUGGCCACACAGUCGUGUGACCCCUAUUUUGAUAAUUUUAAAAUUUUUCAUGUUUUUCUGUUUUAAUUCAAAUUAGUCCAUGAUUAUUCUCAAACUAUUUCUAGGGCCCUGUAAGCUCGUUUUAAGUUUCGUAAAUGUUAUUUUUCUAUAAAUGAAAUGUAGAGUCAAAUGUUUUUAUUUAAAUUAAUAAAUGAAUAGUUUAAUAAUGUAAAUUGUUUUGAUAUGUGUUGUAAUACUUUGUAACCCUAAUUCAGCAACAGAGACGAGUUAGGAGUUGUAACGCCCUUAGCCCGAAUCCAUCACCGGAAUAGAGUUACGGAGCAUUACUGAAGUUACUGAUUUAUUUAUCAGAUAUUUUAUUUCGUCUAACAUUAUUUAGAACCAAUUAAAAUCAACAUAUUGUCCCUUAAACGUUCUCAACAUGUUUUACUUGAAUUAACAUGUUUUACUUGAAUUUAUUACUCUUCUUAAUAUAUUUGAUUUCUUUGUAUCAACGAAUCAAAGAUAAUAACAUAUUUACAUGCUAUGAUAAAUAUUAUUUUCUUGCUAUUUUUUCAUAAACAUAAAUCAUGUAAUUCAUUAUAUCGAUAUUUCAUGCAUUUAAAAAUACAAUUUAAGUUACACUAACUUACCUCGUUGCUUGUUCAUGUUUAUAAUUUCAUUAAUCCGAUAUUUUUUCUUUUCUAUAUUCAAGUCUUGUAUUCAAGUCAUCCUGAUCUUUAUAAAUAAAUUUGAUCGUCAUUUUCAUUUAUUUCAUGUUCUAAUACAUUCAAUUAAUGCUCUAAACAAAAUUACUAUUUUACCCUUAAACUUUUAAUUAAUGAUGAUUUCAUCCUUGGGCUCAAAAAAAUAAAAUUCUUGUAAUUUAAUCUUUAUUUUCAGCUGUUAUUCUCAUAAAAAUUGAUAACAACUCAUGAAUUCUAUAAAAUAUCAGAAUUUUUUAAAAUUUCAAUACUUUUUAAUUUAAUCCUUAAAACAUGUUUUUCCCCGCUCUUAAAUUAAAUUAAUAAUUUCAUUCCAUUUUACAAUUUUAAAUAAUAAAAUAAUCCAUUUCAUGUAAAUUGAUCAUUUCUAAAUUUUUUACAAAAUUACCCAUAAAUUUUUACUUUUAUUUAAUUUAGUCUCUGAGCUCCUCCUCCUCCUCCUCCUCCUCUCCAUUCUACAUCCUUAAUUUAUAUAAUAAGCUACAAGUAACAUUAUCAAUAAUUCCACUAUUUACUGAUAUGUAUAUUCAAAACUAUUCAUUUGCAUCAUGGUCACUAAAUUAUUUAUAUCUUGAGCUACAGAACUCGAAAUUAAGAUCUGAUAAUUUUAAAUGAAACUAGACUUAUGUAUCUUCUUACCAUAAAAUUUUCAUAAUUUUUUGUUUAUCCAAUAAGUACAGUUUAUUCUUUAAAAUCACCCUUAUCCUAUUGUCUGACUGUUCCUACCCUUCUUUACUAAAAAUUAAUGAUCUCAUUGUACAGGAUUCGGAUGAUGUUCUUGUUUGUUUAUAUUGAAAAUAGAAUCAUUCAGGAUUUUAAACAUAUAAUUUUAAGAACCUAAUUAUUUUUAUCAAAUUUUUGAUGAUUUUCUAAAGUCAGAAUAGGGGAACUCAAAAUCAUUCUGACCUUUUCUCACAAAAUUUAUUAUAUCUCAUGAUUCACAAUUUCAUUGCUUACAUGGUUUCUUCUAUAAGAAACUAGACUUAAUAAGAUUUAAUUUAAUAUUUUAUUCAUUCUCUUAUUCGAUUUCUACAAUUUUUGGUGAUUUUUGAAAGUUAGACUGCUGCUGCUGCCCAAAACUGUUUUAGUGCAAAAUAUUAAUUAUUAAGUUUAUAACACUCUUAUUUCCUUUCUCUACAAUAUUUCCUACCACUUUCUCUUAUUUCUCUUCACUAAUAUAUCAAGAACAUAGAAUCAUAUAUAAGAAAACUCUACUUUAGCUUCAUUUCCAUUCUUUUUCAAUAAUAUCAAACUUAAAAAUACAUGGAAAUCUUGAUGUUCUUACCUUGUCUUAUUAUUUCCAAUCUUUUAACUCGAUUUUCUCUCUCCUUCAGCUUCUAUUUCUUGAAUCUAACUUGAUAUUCUAGCUUCCCAUAGUCUCCUUAUUAUUUUUCUCUCUUGGUAACCAUAAAAAUUCUUUCGAUUUCUAGGUGAAAAUGGUGAAUUUUUGGUGGAAAGACUAAAUUGUAAAUAAUAAAAAGUUUCUUUCUUCUCCUCUUCUUUCUAACGUGGGAUGCAUGGACAAUGAUGGAUGGUGUGUGUGUGUGUUUUUUUCCACACACACACAUAUAUAGACUAAAUAAAAUAAUAAAAUAUCUUAUUAAAAUAUUAAAUAAAUAAUAAUUAUCUAAUUAAAUAAUUAUAAAAUAUCACCAACAUCAUCAUUACUUUCUAAAUUUUUCUCUCUUCCAAUUGAUUGUUUUGCCCUUUGUGAUCUUUUAAAAUUUCAUUCUUGAGUCAUCACUUAAUUUGGUAAAAUUACAAUUUAGUCUCUCAUAAUUCUUCACCUAUUCAAUUUGGUCCUAAUUCAUCAAAUUUCCUUUGUUUCUAGAUCAUUCCACCCUUAAAAUAUUUGCACUAUUAGUCCUUCAACUUUUUCAUAUUUACACUUUAAUCCCUCAAAUUUUGAGUAUUUACUCUUAGACCUCAAAAUUUUUCUCACUUUUACAAUUUAGUCCUUUCUUGAAUUAAUAUGUCAUAAUAUACUUCCCAGUGACAUAACUCAAUUUUCCUCUUCUUGUCACUUUAUUUCCUUAUUUUACUAAUUAAGGAUAAUAUCUUACUGUAGAAAAUUUUAAGGUGUUACAGGGGUGUUGCAACUUCUAUCACAUAAACAUCCACAUUUGUUACCUUCUAAUUAAAUGUGCUCAUGGGUUGGGUCAGGCCAAGUUUGUGUCAAGUCUAAACAUGAUGUUAACAUAUUUUAUGCUUGCCCAAGCUCGGCCUGACCCGGCCCAAAAUCUAGGCCUAAAAUUUUGCCCAAAUCUGCCCAUAUUUGCAAAAGACUAACCUAAGACCAUUUUAGACUCACCCAUAUUAUUUAAAUUUUUAAAAAAUAUUUAUAUUAUAUUAUUUUAAUAUUUAAUAUUUAAUAUUUAAUAUUUAAUAAAAUUAUACAUUUUUUAUUUAUUGAAUUUUUUUAUAUAGUCAUCUUAAUAUUUUGUUAAUGUUUACAUUAGAAUAGUAUUAUAUAUUUAGUAUAGCUUUAUCUUUUUGAUGUGUUAUAAAUUACAUAAUAUAAAGUACUAUAAACUUAAAACGUGUCGGGCAGGGCCGGGCUCAAGCCAUGAAUGUUCAAGCCCGAGACCAACUUAUAUUUUAAACGGGCCUCAUUUUUUUUGUCCAAGUCUAUUUUUCGAGCCUAAUAUUUUUACCCAAACCUUCCCAAAUUUCGAGCGACCUUCGAGUCUAGGUGAAUAGCUCGACUCAUGAACAAUUCUACUUCUAAUGUAUCAACGAAAACCAACUGCUCAAAAAACUCUAUGCCCUGCCAACCACCAACAUGAGGAUGUUUAUUCCUUAUUACUUUAUGCUUGAUUACUUUCCCAAGCCUUACAAGCUCUCUCAUUAUUGAAAUAACCUUCCAUUUGUCAAUAAGCAUUUACCCAAUCCCCCAUAAGGAACCUGUUUGCAAUCCUACUGCCCAAAGAUUUUGCGGUAUACAAGCAUUGUUCCAUGUAAUCUAAACCACCCUGACUUCGGAUCACACACCUAACCCCAAUUAACUUUAGUAGUACUUAAAAAAAGAAAAUAAUUGCCAAAAAUAUACCCACGAUUUGGUCUGAAAUCAGUGAGUCGAAUAUUUUAUUAAAAUUUUCCAAUUUUUUAUUGUUUAAAUAAACAUUUGCUGUAAACUUUAGUAUAUUGGCACCACUAUCCCAACAAACAGUGUUUGUAAUGGCUUCAUGCACAAGGUUAGGGGUGAGUGUUCGAUCAGAUCGAAUUAAAUAAAAAAUUUCAAAUUGAUGAAUCAUAUUUUAUCAUUCUAACUCGAUUGAAAUUUUCUUGAAUCGAGUUGAGUGAGAUGAAAUUCGAAUCGAAUAUAUUUGUUCGAGUUAAAUUUUAAAAAAAUGACUCUAAGUCUUUGUAACCAUUGACACCUACCGUAAUUAAAUUUGUUAUUAAUUUUUAUCACCUCAUAAUUUAUUUAUUAAUCUUUUAUACAUGAGUUAUCUUUUUUACUUAAGCUUCCUUUGGAUCAUCAAUUAACACCAGUGUGAUGGAAUCUUAAGGAAUAAUACAUUUUUGCUGGAGUUUUUGCGUGUUUGGAACAUCAAUGGUGAGGCACGUUUGGAAAGCCUCACCUCACCGAAGCUCUAAUUUUCAACUAGAGCUUAAAGCUCCAAUGAAAAAACAGCAACCCCAGUCAACCUGAUUUUUUACAAUUUUAACCUUUUAUCUAAUGUAUGUUUGUACCGCUGAUUUUUUAAAAUAGUAAUUAUAUAUAUUACCAUUAUAAAAUUAAUAUUAAUUAAUUAAAAAUAAACAUUUUAAUAAACAUAUUUUAUUAAAUGAAUUUAUAAAUUUACGUAUUUUUUAUAAUUUUGUAAAAGUAAAAUAAUUUAAAAAUUCCACUGGUCUAUUUUUACCCAGUUAAAAUUUUAAAAGUCUUAUCAUUUUAUUUUUCAUAUUUGAGAACUAAAACUAGAUUUUAAGUGCCAACUAGAUUUUAAGUAUAUCUGUUAAUACAUACUUUAUCCGGGUAAAUUAUGCAUUUGAGUGAAAAUAAUAUUUAACAAUAAAAAUUAAAAAUAAUUAUCAUUUUAUCUAAUAAAUAGUUUAAAUUGAUUAUAUAAUUCAUUAAAAUAUUUAUAAUAAAAUAUUGGAAGAUACAUUUUAAUAUUUUAUUAAAUGAAUUUAUAAAUUCACAUAUUUUAAUAAUUUUUAAAAAGUAAAAUAAUUUUAAAAACUUUUAUUAUAUAUCAAUUCUAAUCUGAUGUCUUUAAUAGUCAUUUUUUAUUCUCACCUCACCGCUACAGCUGCGUUUGAAUCCAAACACACACCCCACCAUUAUUUCUAAUCUCACUGCUACAGUAUCUAAUCUCACCGCUACAGUAACUAAUCUUACCGCCACCGCUGCUUUUAACCUUACCGGAAGUAAACACACCACCCAUCCAAACUAAGCCUUAGUUGUUUCAAUUAUUUUCUAAUUCUUGCCACUAUAUAUUUUGAAAUUAAAAAAAUAUAUUAUAUGUAAAAAUGUGAUUUUUUUAAUAAAAAUUAUUUUAAAGAUAAAAUGUGAAAUUGAUACCAACAUAAAAAAUUUAUCACCAAUAUUUUAUGUCAUAUCAAUAAUUCAAUUUUAAUAGAAAUUUAUAUAGAUUCAAUAUGAUUAAACAAUUCAAGAAUAUAAAUAGUGCAAAAUGUGAAAUUUAAUUUAAUAAUAUAAAUAAUAGAUAUAAAUAAAUUAUUAUUAUUUAGGUUUAAGGAAAAAAAAUUAUAUGAUUUUAAUUUUUGAUUUGGGGAUAAAAGGUGAGAAGUAAAAGUUUAGUGGGAAAAUAAAAAGUUUUGGAGAGUUUCGGGGGGUAAAAUUUUGGAAAAAAGUAAAUGGGGAGUAAAAUUUGGGAGGUAAAAUAUUCAAAAAAAAAUUGAAGGGAAAUGGGUUUGGGGUAGAUGGGGGGUGAGAUAUGAACGGAGUAAAAGUGUUAAGGGAAAAGAAAAAAAGUUUGAGAGUUUAGGGUAAAAUUUUAAAAUAUUAUAAUUUAAUAUUCAGUUUAUUCAAAUUAUUCGAGUUAUUUAAAUUCUAAAACUUAAUUCGAUUCGAACUUGAAAUUCGAAAAAAAAUUUCGAGUUGACUCGAAUAACUCGAUUAAUUUAAAUCAAAAUUUAAUUUUUUUUCGAUUUUUUUAAAUCGAAUCGAGUUUUACUCACACCUACCCAAGUAAAAGCAUAAGGUAAAAAAAAAGGAAGGUCUUGGAUACAAACUCAUUACCACACACACCGUUUACAAGUAAAUUUUGAGAAAUAGAGAGUAACCACAAACCAGUUUGUAAACUUGUAAAACCUGAUAUCUCAACUCUUGCCCAUAAACGUUAUAUUAUCCUUAAACUACCUAAACAUUAAUUAAGUGAAAAGUAAUAAAAACAAAAAAAAAAUGUAAAAGGAAAGUGGUUGGACAGAAUAAGAUGGACUUCAUGAUUGAACAAGCAAUUCCUCCAGCGAAUUGCAGCUCGAAUGUAGCCUUCUAAUGGAUUCAUCAUCAGAAAAUUUCAGAAAAGUAAGAUGGAGACCUUUGAGAUUCGGCAGACAACAAUGGGUGGGAAUAGUCAGGACAAGACUUGGAAGGUUGAAUAAUCUCAAUGUGAGCAGUGUUUUACAAGUGAAAACCCAGAAUUCCAGGUCAGUGAAAUGUCUUGUUUCGAAGGUUCCACUUUGAAAGAUCAAUUCGAGUUCUCUAACGCCAUGCCUUACUGCGUACAGUAUCCAUUCAUUGAUCUUGGGAUGAUCAAUUCCGGGUCCAUAGCAGAGGCGAAAUCUGUCCACACUGAUAUCCUUACGCAAGGACAGAAAUCCAUCCACAAAUUCCAUGAAUCUAUUACGUAAAGCCCUCCUCUUCCUUAGAACUCCAUCGAGCUCAAUAUUGGAUAUGGAAGUAAAAAGAUCCUUCCAUCUGGUUGACAGAAGGCAUGUUCGAACUGCUUCUUUCAUCGGAAGCGAUGACAUGAUGUGCAAAAUAACAUUAUCCGGUAACUCACUGAGUCUGUCGGCUAGGUCUUCCUCGUCUAUUCUUCUGGCUUUUACGCCCCUAACAUAAAACAAAAAAACAGACGAAGAUGAGGUCAAUUGAGGUUACUUGUCGGCAAAGUAAAAAAGAAAAGCAGACAAAACAUAUCUGGUUAUCAGGUUUUCAGCAUUAGCGAAACCUUGUUUUCUUUUGAUGGCCAUGGGAUUGUUUCUGAUAAAAAAGAAAGAAGAAUUGAACCCAAAAAAACAAGAUUUGAGAAACCCUGAACUAGUUGUUUAGACGCAAGUUAGCCCAAGCUGGUGGGGGAAUUUAUUUACGUUCAGAGUUCCAGUUCUUGCGGGAUUAGGAAAACAAUCUAGAGGAAUUAAUUAAGGUCUCUUCGCCGCCUUCUUUUUUAUUUUUUUUAGAUUAAUUUAUUAAUGGUAAUUGCUUAUUUUCUGUUUAGGUUUAAAUAUUUCAAGGGUCCUUGUAUUUUUUCAAAAUUUAAAUUUAAUUCAUGUAUUUUAGUUUUGAGUCAUUGAAUUCCUGUAUUUUUUCUAUUUAACAACCUUACCCCUGAGCUAACUUCUUUCCAAUUUUGCUGUUACUGGUUGAUGAGGCCAUUUAUAGGAAAAGACAAAAUAACUUUUAUAGCCCGAUAUUUACAGUUUUUGUAAAUUUAAUCCUUACUAUUUAUAAAUACAUAAAAAUUUAAAAAUGUAUAAUUUUAAAAUAUUCAAAAUUAUGAAAAAAAUAAAAAUGCUUUAAAAUUUAUAGAAGAUAUAGAAUUUAAUUACCAAAAUAUUCUAUCAGCACUAAACAUGAACAAUUUUGCCUUUUUAUGUGAGAAAAAGUAUUUAAAAUCCAAAAUUAAAAAACAUAAAAGAAACUAAUGCAAAACCAUGUCUUUGCAUCAUCUCAUCUAUUUAGCUACACAACUAUGAUUGAUUUCUACACUGCUAAACCUAAUAAUUCUUUCAAUUUCGUUUAGUAAACACAGAGCAUCGAUUCUUGAUUGCCAAACCCAAUAUAUAUUAGUUAUCCAUAAAAGCUCAACAAUAUUCAUCCCUUCGAAAAGUAUACGAAAGUAUUUUGUCAAUGAGCAUGGGAUAUAAAAAUUUCAAAGCAAACACUACAAGCACAACAACUUGACAGAUAAAAAGAGAGGUUUCCUUCUUGUGGGUUUAGUAGGUAUGAGUGACCUGCUGCCAAUUAUAGUGGUAGUUUAAGUACAUUUCGGCAUUUAAAGAGCUUGUUUUCUAGGCAUUUUAUAAUUAAUUAUUAUAUUUUAAGUAUUAGUAGGUUAGGAACUAAAUAUCAAUAAAAAUAAGUGUUUCACGCAUUUUCUGCUAUUUCAAUGACCCGUAAGGUCAACUCGGGCUUUUUAAGUGACUAAUGGACCAUUUAAGUGUGUAAGAUGUCAAUUCACGUAAUACAAGGGAUGAUGAUCGGGCCGUGAGAAAAGGGAGCCCAAUAGAGUAACGAAUUUGCCAAGUCUGGGAAAGCAUUUGACGUCGUGACGAGGAGUGCCCUCUCAUCAUGAUGACAUGCUGAAGAUGGGAAGGAUUUCAUAGUGGGGACAUCGUGACGAGGAACCUUCCCACGUCAUGAUGACGCGUGAUGGUAGAGGUAUUUCCAUAUUUGGACCUUAACAUUUAUAAGAAUAUUGAAUUAAUUGGUAUCUAAUUGUAUCUAGGGUUGAGUGGUCACUAAGUAGCUCGUUGCCUAUAUAAGCAACCUUGGGGUCAUCGAAAUUGGUGUGCAAACUUAGAGACACAAUUUUUCCUAUUCAGUUUUCUUCGUAUUUUCUUUUCAUGUUUGCUUAGUCAGAACUUUUCUAUUCCGAUAUAAAGACAAUCGUGAGCAGAGAUUGCUACAGAUCUAUGCUUUAAUAUAUUUAUUCCUGAGCAGUCUCUUAUCUCUUCUCUUCUAUUCUUUUAUUUAUAUUUCAUUGAUUUGGACAAUUAAUCGUUAUAUGAAUAUUAGAAUAGGUUAUUAUGCUUUACUCAUAUCUCGCAUGAUUCAAUUAUUAAACUAGUUUAUCUGUUAAAUUAUUAUUUAUCUGAAAUUGAUUGUUUAUUCAAGAGUACUUACUAUGUUAGGAAAUGAUACCCUUAGUAGAAUAUCUAGACAAGUGAAACUGGAAAGGUAUCCUAUCGUAUAUAACUUGCGCCAAAUGGUGAGCCCAAGAGGGUAUCUCUAUGCCUAGAAAGUGACUAGAAGGGCGACUUAGGUGGUAAUCCUUAGCGUAGAUGAAACUAGAAAGAUAUUAUUAACUAAGGGUGAUAAAUAAUUCAAUCAAGGAUAAUUAAUUAUUAAAUUAGAUAAUUAGAGAUUUAAUUGAUCAUAGGCUAGAGACUCGCAUUGCGGACACUAGGGAUAGGAAAUUCCAUUAGGUUAAUUUAGGUUUAUUAAUUUAAUUAGUUUAACUAAAAUAUUAAUUUAGAUUCACACUACUAAUUUGUGACUCGAUUAGAUAAAUAAUUAUUUUCUAUAAUUAAUUGAAUAAUAGUUUCCCCAAUCUGUAAUCCAUUGGGUACGAUCCUUGAAACACUUACCAGUAUUCUGUUGCAACACAAAUCUAUACUACAAUUUGACCUGUAUGCUUGCGGACACUGCUGAUUUAAUAUUUUGUAUAUAUUUUUUGAGUGAUAUUUAUACUAUAAACGAUAACAUAUCUAUAAGCAGUUAAUAAGUCAUCCUUUCGAAUCACAAAUCCCAAUGAUGUAGGUAAUGGUUUUUAGAUUUUUAUUUUUUAAAGUUUACAUAAUUUUAAUUUUUCUUAAAAAUGUAUAAUUUCUUAUUUUUAGUAUUUUUAUUAAAAAAGUAUAAUUUUUUAUUUUUAGAAUUUUUUAGCUAUUUUUUGAGAUAAAAACCAUAAAUGUUGAGAGUUAUAAAAAUUAUUUUGCCUUUUUUUUUCUUCUAUAAUUACGGCAUUAGAGACUAAAGGUAAAAUGGAGGGAAAUUAGGUGAGGAGUAUGAUUUUUAAACUAAGAAAAAUAGAAAAACACAAUCUCUCAAAAUCAAAAUAUAAAAAACUAAAUUUUUGUUAUGAAAUAUUUAUGUAGAUGUCAUUAUCAACCCCAUAAGUUAUAAAACUCUUCCUAUACCCCAUAAGUUAUGAGACUUUUCCUAUACCCCAUUAAUAUGGGAGAUAAAAGGUCAUGAAGAUACACUCUCUCUUCUACAUUCUCUCUACACUCUUUCUUCUAUCACAUUUUAAUUUAUUCUUUCUUUAUUAUUUCACAACAAUUUUAAAAUUUAAAAUAGCGUAAAACUUUACUUACUAAAGCUUAUGGUAUUCCUUAUUAAAUAAUUCAUAUUUAACAUUCAAUUAAUUAUUUAUAAAAAGAAUAAAAAGGGUUUAUCCAAUACAUUUUAAACCCCUUAGCAUUGAAAGUAUUUACGUUUAAAUGUUAAAUAAAUGCUCCGCUUCCUAAUUCCGAGGUUCAUAUGGUCUCUUCGCUGCAUUCUUUUUUUAUUUAUUUAUUUAUAAUUUUCAUUAAUUAUUAUUAAAUUUUAAAAUAUAAUAUAUUUAUAUUAUUAUAAAUAUAAUUUAUGCUUUAAUUUUGAGGAAGAAAAUUUUAAAAAAUGAAACUGUUAUAUAAUUAAUGAUUCAGAAUUUUAAUAUAUUUUAAAUCUAUACCACAUAUCAUAUAGUUUUUUUUUUACUCAUGAAUAGUUAAAUAUCAUUAAAUCAUUUUGUAAGCUUGUUAUAAUUUUUAUAGAUGUAAAAAAUAAUUUAAAGUAUAUUAUUUUAUAAAAAUAUUAAAAUUAAUGAGUCAAAAUAUUAUGAAAUUUGCAAAAUAAAUGCUUAAAUAUAAUAUAAAAGGAUACAAUUUUUUUUAUAAAUAAAUACUAGAAUAAGUGAUAUAAUACCAUUCAAUAUUUUUUUUAUUCAAUUUUUUUUUAUAAAUUUUAAAACUUCUUUAAUAAAAAUUUUAAACAUCAUCAUAUUUUAUAUUUUUGAACUAUAAAAUCUUUGAAAAUCUAAUAUUUCUUUAUGAUAUUUUUUAAACACUAGUGAAUUUUUUAAUUAACUAAUUAAAUAAUAUUUAUUUUCUAAAAUUUUCUUUAUACGUAAUAUAUUCUCUUUCCUUAUUCAACUUUUAAUGGUAUUUGAAAUUUUUAAAAUUUUGUAUAAUUUAAUGAUAUAUCUAUAAUUUGAUUUUGUUAAAAAAAUAAUGGAUGAUUAAAAAUUAAAAAUAUAAAUAUAAAAAAUAAGAGUAAAUUUAUUGUAUGCUCUUGUCGUAAAUUUAUUGUAUGCAUCUUGUUAUAUUAAAUAUGUAACACUCCUUACCCGUCUCGAUCGCCGGACCCAAGUAAUAAGACGCUAUGACAUAAUUCAACAAUUCAAUAAAUACCUUAAUAAAAAUUAAAUCAUUUCUUAAUAAAUUAUGGAUAUAAAGAAAUAUAUUAAAUAAUUAGAAUUCUACAAGGACCAACCAAAUUACAAAAUACAAGCAUAUGCUAAGAUUGGAUUGUAAAAUUUUGAAGUUAAAAGUCAACAAUAGAAAUUCACAGAUGGUAUCGAUACCAAAUCAAUACAUUCUGAAAAUCGAUACCAAAAUUCAAUUCUAUUUACUUGAAAAUCACUGGCAUCGAUAUUUAUUUUAUGGAAUCAAUAUUUUGUGAAAAAUAUCGAUACUUAAAUAAAAAUCGAUACUAUUUUAGCAUUCUAUUUGUUUUAAAAUUGUUCAUAAGGUCAAGUAUAGAUACCAUAUGCAAAAGUAUCGACACUUGAGUUUAGAAAUGGUAAAAACUUAUAUUUAAAAGUUUCACUUAUGCUCAAAAUUUACCUAAGCAUAAUAAAGGCAUGUAACUCAACAUCCAAGCAUUCCAUUCAUGUACAACUCAAUUCAAUACAUCAAUAUCUAAGCCAAAUACAUAUGCUUAAGUUCAACCCACCUAAACAAUCAACCAUUAAGGUACUUCAACAUGAAUAACUAAGCUUCCAAUUUCAUUUGUAAACAUACACCAUGGCAUUAUCAUCUAUUGCAAGUUCAAAUCAUCUAUCAUCCAUCAUUCUCAUAACUAUGCAUUAACCAAAAGCUCACCUAGCAUAUUAACUUUUCAAUUAUUUGAUCAAUAUGCACAUAAUUAAACUACUUAACAAGACAUAUUCAAUAUGGCCAAUCUUACCAACAACACACAUACAAAUAUAUAAUAUUUAUAACAUAGAAACCCAUACACCAAUAAGAUACGAAAUGACCAUUAAAAUAAAAAAACUAACUUUAUAACUUAAAAGACUUCCUAGGCACAUGCCAAAAUUAAAAUCAGAACAUCACCAACACUUGAGUUUGGGAUGGUCGUUGGAUGCUGAGUAGACUAUCAAACCGAUGAGUACCUAAUCUACGCACGGAAAAUAAAAUCGUACACUGAGUAUAACUCAGCGAUAUUUCUAUAAUCCGAAUAUAAAUGUAAAAUACAAUACAAUUAUAUGCUCAAGUUAAAAUAAGUGAUGUUAUGCAAUUUUAUCUCAAUCAUAGUUCAAUUCAUUUCAUACUUAAUUAAACAUCAUUCUUUAAAUACAUAUCCAUUCAAUACUUUAGUUCCCAAUUCACAUUUCAUUCUAUCACAUUUGCUAUUCAAUAACAUUGCCAUUUUCAAAUCAUUACCAUCUCAAGUCAUUAUCUCGAGUUUAUCAUUUACUUUCCCUAUUAACGUAACUCGGACUCAGACAUGUGAAUUCCAACUAUCUCAUUUUCAUAUCAAAUCCAAUAUCCCAUACAAUAUACAAUAUUUUAUUUUACAACCAUACAAUUUAAUACCUUGUCACUAAUAAUCAUUCAAUCAUCUCAUUCAAUUAAAAUUCACAUAUCAUGAAAUAGUUUCAAAGGAAUAACUCACCUUAUAUAUAUAUACUUACCAAUGACCUAGAUGCGAGUAAAGAAAAAUGAUUCGUAUCUCAACAGUCAGAUGUGCACACCCAAUAUCUAGAUGCAAACGUGGAAAGGCAAUUGUCAUACAUUACGGCCCCAUGGAGUGUCUAGCAAGCCGCGUCUAAAAUAGACGUAAGGCCUGGCACUUUAUAACGCCCUUUAGGCCCACUAAAGGAGGGAAUGGAUCGUUAGGAUUUGGGAACUGCUAGCCCAAGUGACCGAUAGAAUCUGGAUCUUUGACCCGAUGAACUUGACCUGGAAGGAGAAUGUUCGCCUACAGGCAUAGUUAGCUAAUGACCUUGUGUGAAUGUUAGAUGUUAGCAAAGUUAGCUUGCGGGAAGCCAUCAAGGGGAGCUCCCGUAAGCCUCGUAGGAAUAAGGUCGCGAGAGGAGAGCUCGCGUAAACCUCACAAGGACAAGGUCACGAGCUAUGUUCGUGGAAGGGAUCAUAAGCCCUGCAAGGGAUCCUCACUCAUGACUGGCAAGUGCGAGGUUCGCUGGGGGAGUCAGUCUUUGGAUCAAAAAAGACCGCGUGCUCUGUAGGCACAUGUCCAAUAAGCCAAGGGAUGCCUAGAGAAUGUCAGCACUAGGGACAGAGAAUGUCAGUACCAUCGGCCCAAAGGCCGAGACAAAAUAAUGGACUCUAUUGUGAGCUGUAAUAGUAGCAGUAGGAACAUGUAUAAAUAUCCCCAUAUUUCCCUUAAUACGAUAUGAGAAAACAUUACUCAUCAUAUACAUUAUCGGUGGAGUUUUUAGAUUAAACAACAAGAGUUUUUAGAGUGAGGUGGGAUUGAUAUUAAAAAAUAAAUAUUUAAAAAAGAGGUAUGUCUAAUUCUUAAAAUUGCUUGUAAAAGAAAAUACAUACCAAUGUACCAAAUAUUCACCUUUAUAUAAGACUUGAUAUAUAUAGUUUAUAUUAAUAGAGAAUAAAAUGUAAUAAUUAAAUUAUUAAAAUAUUAAUCAGCAAACAAAGAUAAAAGCAAUCCAUGGAUAAAUUCAAAUCGUAAUAUAGAAAAAAGUUUUGUUUACAAUUAAUUCAAAUAUAUACCAUAAUUAUUGUUUAUCAAUUUUAAUUUGUUUAUAAACUAGAAUGGUUUCCUACUUCGUGCAUCAGAAUUUAAUUUUUCCAUAAUGUUUUUUUUGAGCCUCCAAUUUUAAAAAUAAAAAUUUAUUCUAGUUAUCAAUUUAAUUUUUGAAUGUUUUUUUUAAAUUAUUCUAAAAUGGAUGAAAAAAUUAACUUUGAUUAAUUAUGCUGAUGUGGCAUACACAUGAAUUAUCAUGUGAAUGACAUACUAACAUUUAAUUACUUUUUUAAAAAAUUUAAAAUGUUAAAAAUAUUUUUUUAUAAUUUUAUAUUUUAAAUAAUUUUAAUGAUUUUUAAUUUUUAAAAAUAUUUUUUUGAAUUUUUAAAAUUUUAAAAAAUUAAUUAAAUACUAAUGUGUCAUUCACGUGGCAAUCGACGUGUAUGUCACGUUAGCAAAGUUAAAAACAUUAAUCUUUCCCCUCAUUUUAAGGUGAUUUGACAAAAAAAAAAUCAAAAGUUUAAGAGGUAAAAUAGGUAAAAAUUAAAUGGAAGGCUAAAAUUUUUUUUUUAUAAAAUUAAAAUACUAAAUAAAUCAUUAUGUGUUUAAUUUUAAUGUUGCUUUAAGGGCUUUCUUAAUAUACUAACUAAAAUUUAUAAUUUAAUUGAUUAUAUGAGUUAUUAAAAAGAACCUUUAAUGUUGUAUAAAAUAUUAUUUUUAUAUUAAAAAUAAUCUGAAAUGUACGUCUAACUUUAAAGAAAAUACUUUGCAAAAUUGAUAGAGAAUUUAAGAACAGUAAUGAAAUUUACAAAAAUUGAGCUUGGAAACUGGAAACUAAAAUAAGGAAACAAGUGACCAUACUAGAGGGUGCAGAACGGUAAUAAUUUGGGUCAGUCAAAGGAUUCCUUAAAAUUGGAAUCAGUGGCUUCUAUCAAAUGUUGAACCCAAAAGCUUUCACAAGGUAAAUCCAAACCCUAUGUUUUUCUUUUUUCUUUUCCUUCCAACAUUUAGUGGUAAAAGUAUAAUAUACACUCUUACACGAUAAAUUUUAUUUUUAAAAUUAAUUCAUACACAUCAAAAUCAAAAUAAAAUACAUCUAACAUGUAUAUCUCAUAUCGAAAUCUACUCCAUCAUAAUUAACUAUAAAUAUAAAAUAAAAUCAAAAUAAAAUACACGUUACAUGCGUUUCUCGAACCGAAAUCUGCCUCUUCAUAAUCAGUUAUAGAUGUAUGAUGAUUUGGAUUGAUGGGUCAAAGCAUUUUCCUUUUCACACCUAAGCAUUAAAAAACAAAUCCUUCUCAAUUUUCAUCUUUGGCUGCUUCCUCCUACUAGUUCCUAUAUAACAAGAAGCUUACGCUUAAAUCCUUCCACAAGCCAUCUCCUUUCAGGCUUCAGCUUUCCCCACCUUCCCUCUUAUCGUUUCUCCAGACUCUGAUCUCAUCUUAAAUCCAAGCUAGCAAACCCAGCCUCCAAUUUAUAUCUUUAAACUCAGGUCACCUUUGCGUGAUGCUCAACCCCAGCCUCCGCUUUGGUUGUGGUCCAUAUUGUUUGCAGAUUUGUUUGUAUGCUGAAAGAAUAUGUGUUGAAAAAUUGUUUUUUCUGUUGAAUGUUUCGCAUUAUACCCCAAAUCACCAAUCUAACAGUCUUCUCUGAGUUGCUCUUUUUUGUCAUUUUUGCUGAGUCUCUUUCGAUAAUAACUGAUGUAAACCCCACUUGUUUUCCCAUAAUCACUACUUGGAGGCACACAAGUGCCUCUGUUGGAAAUAGAGAAGCCACCUCCCUAUGGAUCUUUGUUUUGAAGCCGAGUACCUUCCCCGAUGCAUUUCUGGC